This is a long non-coding RNA of Oncorhynchus kisutch (coho salmon), 1362 nucleotides long. RefSeq lists it as uncharacterized. NCBI's taxonomy places the organism in Eukaryota, Metazoa, Chordata, Actinopteri, Salmoniformes, Salmonidae. The transcript is spliced from 2 exons. The record is from RefSeq and is a predicted model, not a curated record.
UGUAGUCCAACAGAACAGGCCUUGUUUAGAAGUCCAGACAGUUGUAGUCCAACAGAACAAGCCCUGUUUAGAAGUCCAGACAGUUGUAGUCCAACAGAACAGGCCUUGUUUAGAAGUCCAGAAGUUUUAGAAGAAGCGUACAAAUUGCAUCUAAUUUUCGUUUCAGUAUCUGCCAGUGAGACUGAAGAAUAAGAUAACUGUGAUCGAAACAAAAAAAAUUUUAUUUUAUACCAGAGCUGUCAGUUUGCAUCUUUUAUUAAUACUCUAUUAGCUGGUAGUUGGUCAAAUCUGACACGCGCCAAACUGCAGAUAGGUGGCGCCAACGUAUCAGGAAGUGACAAAAAUCCAUGUUGAUUUUAAGGUCAAAAGAAUAUAAAGACGGCAUUGGAAAGGUCAAUCAGGCCAUGUUGGACACGGCCCAACAAACCUAUUUAGGUUGUGCUUCUAACAUGACAAUGGGACUGUUUCAGGUCAUUUCAGGCCAUGUUGGACACGCCCCAACAAACCUUGACUCACCUUUUUAUAUUCCCUCGCUGACAUCAAGACUCAUUAUAGAUGUGGUUUAAUUGAUCAUAGUACAAGCUCAUUAUAGAUGUGGUUUAAUUGAUUAUAGUCCAGACUGGUUAUAGAUAUGUCUUAAUUGAUCAUAGUCCAGACCGGUUAUAGAUCAAUUAAGACAUAUCUAUCUACAGGCGCUACUAAAAAAAAUGGAGCCCUGGAUUUCUUAAUCCGGCCCUGAGCCUCACUGCUUGUUACUGUAAACAGACCGUCACUGCUUGUUACUGUAAACAGACCCUAACUAAGUUGUUACUGUAAACAGACCGUCACUGCUUGUUACUGUAAACAGACCCUAACUAACUUGUUGCUGUAAACAGACCGUCACUGCUUGUUACUGUAAACAGACCCUCACUGCUUGUUACUGUAAACAGACCCUAACUAAGUUGUUGCUGUAAACAGACCGUCACUGCUUGUUACUGUAAACAGACCGUCACUGCUUGUUACUGUAAACAGACCCUCACUGCUUGUUACUGUAAACAGACCCUAACUAAGUUGUUGCUGUAAACAGACCGUUACUGCUUGUUACUGUAAACAGACUGUCACUGCUUGUUACUGUAAACAGACCGUCACUGCUUGUUACUGUAAACAGACCGUCACUGCUUGUUACUGUAAACAGACCCUCACUGCUUGUUACUGUAAACAGACCCUAACUAAGUUGUUGCUGUAAACAGACCGUCACUGCUUGUUACUGUAAACAGACCGUCACUGCUUGUUACUGUAAACAGACUGUCACUGCUUGUUACUGUAAACAGAGUGAAUUACCUUUUUGGUCUAUGUUCCUUUUGAUAAACGGUAUCUAUUCUU